AGGGUUUGUAGGAUUGAGGCCCUUCUAUCUAG
RNAcentral lists this transfer RNA (32 nucleotides) under Pamphorichthys hollandi. RNAcentral's name for it is "partial tRNA-Asn". The record is from RNAcentral. Lineage: Eukaryota; Metazoa; Chordata; Actinopteri; Cyprinodontiformes; Poeciliidae.